This 1278-nucleotide long non-coding RNA is filed under the name Salmo salar (Atlantic salmon). RNAcentral describes it as "lncRNA (ENSSSAG00000085526.1)". The record is from RNAcentral. Lineage: Eukaryota; Metazoa; Chordata; Actinopteri; Salmoniformes; Salmonidae.
ACGGAUAUACCAUUCAUGUAAGCGCGCGAUAUCAGGCAGCUUGCGAGGCUACAUUCAGUACACUGCAAGUCACGAUAUCAACAGAGGCUCUUUUACUAAGCUCCCACUCCUCUGGGAUCCCCAUGCCCUGACUCUCCUCAAAGUCCACCAUCACUGGCCCAGCCGACACAAGGUCAAAUGGGUCAGGCAGUCCAGCACAGUCCUCCACCACCUCCUGGGGAUGGGGCUCCACGGUGGUCCUUUGUGAUGCUUGGGAGGUCGAGCAAGUGGUCUGACCCAUUGGAUUCUUAAUGUUGCCACGCCCACCACCCCCCCUCGGUCCUGUGUUACAGAAUGCCUCUGAAGACCCAGCCUGCACCCUCCAGUCACCCCCGCUGGGAGCCUCUAACCUCUGCUUCAGUCCCAGGGUGUCCUGGUCCCUCUGGGUCACUGAGGAGAGUCCCUGCUGCUGGUCCCCUUGGAGCCCGGUUAACAGACGCACAGUCUCACUCAGCACAGACUCCACUGCUGUACGCACUGCCUCCUCAAUGGCCCCGCCCAGUCUGUCCCUCAGGAAGCUGAUGGACAACUGGACAUCCAUCUUGGCACAGCUCUACCUGGCUGUCUCUGUGACUUUAGACACCAACCACAGGUUAGAGCUCUAUGGGAUGGUAUGUAGCUAGUCUAUUCAAAAACCACAAAACCUGGGUAUUGUCAAAGAUUCUCUAGUAUAAGUUAUUGCUUAAGUUCUUCCUCUCUGAUAAUUGAUAUGACCACAUCUCUAAGCCUCUCUCACUUGGAGCGUCAACCAGAGAUACAUACUGAGUAAUAUGAAUUUUACUUAGAACAAUCAUAUUAGCUCUUCACCCUAAAACUACAGAUAUCUUGGCAACCCAAAAACCAAUGUCAACAUAGCUAGCUAAGCUGGAUCACUAACUAGUAACAUUACUACCAUAUUAUGCGGAAGAUACAUUUCGGGUGAAUAGAAUGAGUUUUGCAACUGACUAGGUAUCCCAUUUUCCCAUUGUUGUCCCCAUUAUUAUUGCUAGCAACAAAACAAGCUGACUAGCUAGCUAAUCAUUUCCUACAAGCUAUCUCUGUAAAUUAACAGAUUCAUUCAACUAGUUAACGUCACCAACAUUUCACAGCAAAUUAUCGAAACAAUACUCGAAGUCUACGCGGGAUUGGGACUUUAAACCAAAGCUACAGUGCGUAAAACAUUAAUAUAUAAAUUUUUGAAGCGUUCUAGCUAGCUAGGUAGCUAUCGAUUCUAGCUAGCUAUCGUCCCCUAAAUAAAAC